Molecule: ribosomal RNA, 314 nt
Filed under: Esomus metallicus (striped flying barb)
Lineage: Eukaryota; Metazoa; Chordata; Actinopteri; Cypriniformes; Danionidae
Description: partial 12S ribosomal RNA
Rfam family: Bacterial small subunit ribosomal RNA
Source: RNAcentral
UCCGCCAGGGUACUACGAGUUAAACUUAAAACCCAAAGGACUUGACGGUGCCUUAGACCCACCUAGAGGAGCCUGUUCUAGAACCGAUAAUCCCCGUUAAACCUCACCAUUUUUAGCCACACCAGCCUAUAUACCACCGUCGUCAGCUUACCCUGUGAAGGGCAAAAAGUAAGCAAGAUGGGCACAGCCCAAAACGCCAGGUCGAGGUGUAGCCCACGAAAUGGGAAGAAAUGGGCUACAUUUUCUAAACCAGAAUAUUACGGAUACGCAACAUGAAACAGUUCCAAGAAGGAGGAUUUAGUAGUAAAAAGGAA